This 253-nucleotide ribosomal RNA is filed under the name uncultured bacterium. Its description in RNAcentral is "partial 16S ribosomal RNA". It matches the Rfam family "Bacterial small subunit ribosomal RNA", at positions 524 to 776 of the family's 1533-position model. The record is from RNAcentral.
UACGUAGGGGGCAAGCGUUAUCCGGAUUUACUGGGUGUAAAGGGAGCGUAGACGGCGGUGCAAGCCAGAUGUGAAAGCCCGGGGCUCAACCCCGGGACUGCAUUUGGAACUGUGCUGCUAGGGUGUCGGAGAGGCAGGCGGAAUUCCUAGUGUAGCGGUGAAAUGCGUAGAUAUUAGGAGGAACACCAGUGGCGAAGGCGGCCUGCUGGACGAUGACUGACGUUGAGGCUCGAAAGCGUGGGGAGCAAACAGG